RNAcentral lists this ribosomal RNA (445 nucleotides) under uncultured bacterium. RNAcentral describes it as "partial 16S ribosomal RNA". It matches the Rfam family "Bacterial small subunit ribosomal RNA", at positions 354 to 796 of the family's 1533-position model. The record is from RNAcentral.
GUGAGGAAUAUUGGUCAAUGGGCGAGAGCCUGAACCAGCCAAGUCGCGUGAAGGAAGACGGCCCUACGGGUUGUAAACUUCUUUUGCAAUGGAAUAAAAAGAGUUACGUGUAAUUCAUUGUAUGUACAUUGCGAAUAAGGAUCGGCUAACUCCGUGCCAGCAGCCGCGGUAAUACGGAGGAUCCGAGCGUUAUCCGGAUUUAUUGGGUUUAAAGGGUGCGUAGGCGGAUUGGAAAGUCAGCGGUGAAAGUUUGCAGCUUAACUGUAAAAUUGCCAUUGAAACUGUCAGUCUUGAGUGCAAAUGAGGUAGGCGGAAUGUGUUGUGUAGCGGUGAAAUGCAUAGAUAUAACACAGAACACCAAUUGCGAAGGCAGCUUACUGGGAUGCAACUGACGCUGAGGCACGAAAGCGUGGGGAUCAAACAGGAUUAGAAACCCUGGUAGUCC